AAAUUAGAGCUUAAAUUAAGUAUUUUAUUUACACUAAAAGGAUAAUUGUUAAAUUCAAUUUAAUUUGAA
Molecule: transfer RNA, 69 nt
Filed under: Mordellidae sp. 4 ACP-2013
Lineage: Eukaryota; Metazoa; Arthropoda; Insecta; Coleoptera; Mordellidae
Description: tRNA-Val
Source: RNAcentral